GCGGCGAUAGCUCAGUUGGUAGAGCGUCGGCUUCCCAAGCCGAAGGUCGCGGGUUCGAGACCCGUUCGCCGCU
This 73-nucleotide transfer RNA is filed under the name Acidobacteriota bacterium. RNAcentral describes it as "tRNA-Gly". It matches the Rfam family "tRNA". Rfam says of the family: Transfer RNA (tRNA) molecules are approximately 80 nucleotides in length. Their secondary structure includes four short double-helical elements and three loops (D, anti-codon, and T loops). The record is from RNAcentral. Lineage: Bacteria; Pseudomonadati; Acidobacteriota. RNAcentral also lists the same sequence under 2 other names.